GACGAACGCUGGCGGCGUGCUUAACACAUGCAAGUCGAACGGACGAGUGAGAUAAGUUACUUAACUCACAAGUUAGUGGCGGACGGGUGAGUAACACGUGGAUAAUCUACCUGCAACACCGGGAUAACGCUGUGAAAACGGUGCUAAUACCGGAUACGUUCCCUUGUGCGCAUGUAUGAGGGAAGAAAGCUCAGGCGGUUGCAGAUGAGUCCGCGGCUGAUUAGCUAGUUGGUGAGGUAAAGGCUCACCAAGGCGAUGAUCAGUAGCCGGCCUGAGAGGGUGAACGGCCACACUGGGACUGAGACACGGCCCAGACUCCUGCGGGAGGCAGCAGUGGGGAAUCUUCCGCAAUGGGCGCAAGCCUGACGGAGCAACGCCGCGUGGGUGAAGAAGGCCUUCGGGUUGUAAAGCCCUGUCUUAUGGGAAGAAGUCAGUGACGGUACCAUAGGAGGAAGCCACGGCUAACUACGUG
Molecule: ribosomal RNA, 472 nt
Filed under: uncultured bacterium
Lineage: Bacteria
Description: bacterial SSU rRNA
Rfam family: Bacterial small subunit ribosomal RNA
Source: RNAcentral